RNAcentral lists this small RNA (28 nucleotides) under Bombyx mori (domestic silkworm). Its description in RNAcentral is "ovarian small RNA-10069". Lineage: Eukaryota; Metazoa; Arthropoda; Insecta; Lepidoptera; Bombycidae. The record is from RNAcentral.
AAAGCGACAACGACGAUGUCGUGCAAAC